This is a long non-coding RNA of Brienomyrus brachyistius, 563 nucleotides long. RefSeq lists it as uncharacterized. Lineage: Eukaryota; Metazoa; Chordata; Actinopteri; Osteoglossiformes; Mormyridae. The transcript has 4 exons. The record is from RefSeq and is a predicted model, not a curated record.
UGAUCCAGCUCCUGCUGCGGAGCGGAGCAGAAACACGACUAGCUGUAGCUACACUGCAUGAACAGCACCAGGUUUUAGGCCCCAUGGCAAAAGCUACAUCGCAACCCAGUAAGCUGCUACUAAGGGACUCACUGAUCACAUGCACACUGAAUUGGAAUCUCUGCUUCUCAUGUCUGGCAGUUUACCACUGGGCUUCUAGAAUGGAAGCAGUUUUCUUCAGCUGGGUACUUGUUUCGUCCAGCCUGGCUGUUCGGCCCUGCAAAGCAGCCACCUUUUCUGCACUUCCCACAUUUGUUGGACAGUUAUUUGUCCUUGGGUAGAUGACAGUGAAGAUGAUGAUGAUGAUGACGAUGAUGAUGAGAAGUACAAGGCCACAUCCCACAGGCACACGGGUGAGAAAACUCCUGGGGGAGGGAACGUCGUCACCUAAAACAGAGGCGGUGAAAAUGUACCGAUUUUUAUACGUCAUCAGUCUCAGAUACUGAAAUGUUCCCUUAACGUCCUCUUUCUAUUACACUUUUCAUUGCAUUAACAUCCAUAAAACCUUAAUUUAUUCCCAAUAU